RNAcentral lists this long non-coding RNA (393 nucleotides) under Zostera marina. Its description in RNAcentral is "long non-coding RNA (ZMAR_LNC003213)". Lineage: Eukaryota; Viridiplantae; Streptophyta; Magnoliopsida; Alismatales; Zosteraceae. The record is from RNAcentral.
AGUAAAUGACCAGAUAACUGGAUAUAUUGAUAAACAAGUAAAUGACCAGAUAACUGGAUAUAUUGACAAACAAGUAAGUGACCAGAUAACUGGAUAAGUUGAUAAACAAGUAAGUGACCAGAUAACUGGAUAAAUAUGAUAAGUAAUACUUGAACAAAUAUAAGAAUUUAAAGCAAUGAAUAUAACCUCAGAUAGUUGACCAGAUAACUGGAUGAGGGAUCUGCGUAAAGUAGUCAACCUCUGUGUUUGACCAGAUAACUGGAAGAGGGAUCUUUUUAAUUAAGUGUUGUUUUUAAGUAAAAAAUAGAACUAUAAUUAACAGAGAACAACACAAGAGAUUUAUACUGGUUCACCCAAACAAGGGCUAGUCCAGUCCCGACCAACUGCCGGAAU